GAUGAAGAACGUAGCAAAAUGCGAUACUUGGUGUGAAUUGCAGAAUCCCGUGAACCAUCGAGUUUUUGAACGCAAGUUGCGCCCGAAGCCUUUUGGCCGAGGGCACGUCUGCCUGGGCGUCACGCAUCGCGUCGCCCCCCACAAUUCUCCGUAAAGGGAACGUGUGUUUUGGGGGCGGAUAUUGGUCUCCCGUGCUCAUGGCGUGGUUGGCCGAAAUUGGAGUCCUUUCGAUGGACGCACGAACUAGUGGUGGUCGUAAAAACCCUCGUCUUUUGUUUCGUGCUGUUGCUCGCAAGGUAAACUCUUUAAAAACCCCAAUGUGUCGUCUCUUGACGACGCUUCGACCGCGACCCCAGGUCAGGCGGGACUACCCGCUGAGUUUAAGCAUAUCAAUAAGCGGAGGA
Molecule: unclassified non-coding RNA, 404 nt
Filed under: soil metagenome
Description: partial contains 5.8S ribosomal RNA, internal transcribed spacer 2, and large subunit ribosomal RNA
Rfam family: 5.8S ribosomal RNA (bases 1-122)
Source: RNAcentral